RNAcentral lists this ribosomal RNA (445 nucleotides) under uncultured bacterium. RNAcentral describes it as "partial 16S ribosomal RNA". It matches the Rfam family "Bacterial small subunit ribosomal RNA", at positions 354 to 796 of the family's 1533-position model. The record is from RNAcentral.
GUAGGGAAUAUUGGACAAUGGGCGAAAGCCUGAUCCAGCCAUGCCGCGUGAUAGAUGAAGGCCCUCUGGGUUGUAAAUAUCUUUUAUCUGGGAAGAAACUCCUCUAUUCUUAGAGGCCUGACGGUACCAGAGGAAUAAGCACCGGCUAACUCCGUGCCAGCAGCCGCGGUAAUACGGAGGGUGCAAGCGUUAUCCGGAUUCACUGGGUUUAAAGGGUGCGUAGGCGGGUUGAUAAGUCAGUGGUGAAAGCUCCGGGCUUAACUUGGAAACUGCCAUUGAUACUGUCAAUCUUGAAUGUCGUAGAGGUAAGCGGAAUGUUGCAUGUAGCGGUGAAAUGCUUAGAUAUGUUACAGAACACCAAUUGCGAAGGCAGCUUACUAUGCGAUAAUUGACGCUGAGGCACGAAAGCGUGGGGAGCAAACAGGAUUAGAUACCCGAGUAGUCC